UAAUAAACAAUUACAGAGUCAUAGGGCGUAUCAGCAAGUGAACUAUUCAGGAACAACCACUUGAAGCACGAGAGCAGCAUUCCAUAGCGCUGGGUUCGGAGCCGCAGCCUCCUGGCCGCACCUUGGUCUGCACUGACAGAGUCAGAAGCUUUGUUUGCUGCUGCCCUUUGCCUGGAAGAAGUCUCUCCUUAGCGACAGAUGACCUCACGUUACGUCUGCACAAGAAGACAAGGUGUCCUGUCUCACUGACGAAGGGUGCUUCCUAGCAUCUGUGCUUCUGAGGUUUUGAGCAUGAAUAGGGGAGUUGUAGACUGAUGGAUCACCCGCGGUUACCUCCUACCAUUGCCUUUAAAUAUCUGGCAAUUCCAUGCCUCAAGUUAAAGUACUAAAUACGUAACUAAAAAAGUGUAUGUGAGAGAUGUACAGCAGCGCACACGAUACUGUUCCAGUCCACAACUUAUGUUUAACUCGCAUUUCUGUAACUUGAC
This is a long non-coding RNA of Egretta garzetta (little egret), 488 nucleotides long. RefSeq lists it as uncharacterized. The record is from RefSeq and is a predicted model, not a curated record. Lineage: Eukaryota; Metazoa; Chordata; Aves; Pelecaniformes; Ardeidae. The transcript has 3 exons.